RNAcentral lists this ribosomal RNA (502 nucleotides) under uncultured bacterium. RNAcentral describes it as "bacterial SSU rRNA". It matches the Rfam family "Bacterial small subunit ribosomal RNA", at positions 27 to 524 of the family's 1533-position model. The record is from RNAcentral.
GAACGAACGCUGGCGGCGCGCCUAAUACAUGCAAGUCGAACGAGAAGCUGUAGCAAUACAGUUGUACAGUGGCGAACGGGUGAGGAAUACAUGGGUGACCUACCCUCGAGUGGGGAAUAACCAGCCGAAAGGUUGGCUAAUACCGCGUACGCUUCCCAGUCUACGGGUUGGGAAGGAAAGCGAUGCCGUGGGUAUCGCGCUCAAGGUUGGGCUCAUGUCCUAUCAGCUUGUGGUGGGGUAACGGCUCACCAAGGCAACGACGGGUAGCUGGUCUGAGAGGACGAUCAGCCACACUGGCACUGCGACACGGGCCAGACUCCUACGGGAGGCAGCAGUAAGGAAUAUUGCGCAAUGGGCGAAAGCCUGACGCAGCGACGCCGCGUGGGGGAUGAAGGUCUUCGGAUUGUAAACCCCUUUCGGGAGGGAAGAUGGAACGAGCAAUCGUUCGGACGGUACCUCCAGAAGCAGCCACGGCUAACUUCGUGCCAGCCGCCGCAGUAAU